This 403-nucleotide ribosomal RNA is filed under the name uncultured bacterium. RNAcentral describes it as "partial 16S ribosomal RNA". It matches the Rfam family "Bacterial small subunit ribosomal RNA", at positions 28 to 526 of the family's 1533-position model. The record is from RNAcentral.
GACGAACGCUGGCUGCGUGCCUAAUACAUGCAAGUCGAACGCAGUGGGGACGGGUGAGUAACACGUGGGUAACCUCCCAUCAGAGGGGAUAACACUUGGAAACAGGUGCUAAACCGAUACUGAUGGAUGGACCCGCGGUGCAUUAGCUAGUUGGUGAGGUAACGGCUCACCAAGGCCACGAUGCAUAGCCUACCUGAGCGGGUGAGUGCGCACACUGGGAAUGAGACACGGCGCAUACUGCGACGGGAGGCAGCAGUAGGGAAUCUUCGGCAAUGGACGAAAGUCUGACAGAGCAACUCCGCGUGAGUGAAGAAGGUUUGCGGAUCGUAAAACUCUGUUGUUAGAGAAGCGGUAUCUAACCAGAAAGCCACGGCUAACUACGUGCCAGCCGCCGCGGUAAUAC